This 466-nucleotide ribosomal RNA is filed under the name uncultured Enterococcus sp. Its description in RNAcentral is "bacterial SSU rRNA". It matches the Rfam family "Bacterial small subunit ribosomal RNA", at positions 338 to 795 of the family's 1533-position model. Lineage: Bacteria; Bacillati; Bacillota; Bacilli; Lactobacillales; Enterococcaceae. The record is from RNAcentral.
CCUACGGGGGGCAGCAGUAGGGAAUCUUCGGCAAUGGACGAAAGUCUGACCGAGCAACGCCGCGUGAGUGAAGAAGGUUUUCGGAUCGUAAAACUCUGUUGUUAGAGAAGAACAAGGAUGAGAGUAGAAUGUUCAUCCCUUGACGGUAUCUAACCAGAAAGCCACGGCUAACUACGUGCCAGCAGCCGCGGUAAUACGUAGGUGGCAAGCGUUGUCCGGAUUUAUUGGGCGUAAAGCGAGCGCAGGCGGUUUCUUAAGUCUGAUGUGAAAGCCCCCGGCUCAACCGGGGAGGGUCAUUGGAAACUGGGAAACUUGAGUGCAGAAGAGGAGAGUGGAAUUCCAUGUGUAGCGGUGAAAUGCGUAGAUAUAUGGAGGAACACCAGUGGCGAAGGCGGCUCUCUGGUCUGUAACUGACGCUGAGGCUCGAAAGCGUGGGGAGCAAACAGGAUUAGAUACCCUAGUAGUC